Long non-coding RNA from Mus caroli (Ryukyu mouse), 418 nucleotides. RefSeq lists it as uncharacterized. Lineage: Eukaryota; Metazoa; Chordata; Mammalia; Rodentia; Muridae. The record is from RefSeq and is a predicted model, not a curated record.
GGGGUCGAUCUCCCGGAGCUGCUAGGCAAUUCGUCUCACUCUGAAGCUCUCAGGCUGGGUUGGAGGUCACUUUUGAGACCUGGGCUGUGACUCUCCAGGAAUCCUCCAGCCCUUCACUGGGAGCAUUAAGUACCAAGCAAUCAGCAAGUACAGACGGCCACUGUUGGUGUCCUCACAGAAAGUCUCAGGGAGGCUGAGCCUGUCACGGAGAUGUUCCUCACCGCUCUUCUCUGUGUGUCCCAUCUUACUGUUCGCUCAGCUGACCUGUUCAAGCCAAAGUCUCUCACAACGUCAGCCCUUCUGGUGGCAUAGGCCACUCCAGCUGUCCUCGUGUAGGUGGCUCUACAACUCCCUCCCUGCCUGUCACCCCUACUUCUCUUGCUUUCCACUGUCCUCUCUUCACCCGUUCUCUGUCCAA